This is a long non-coding RNA of Chrysolophus pictus (golden pheasant), 3429 nucleotides long. NCBI's taxonomy places the organism in Eukaryota, Metazoa, Chordata, Aves, Galliformes, Phasianidae. The record is from Ensembl.
GCUCCUAUGUGAGUAUGUGUUGGUUUCUGGGCGUCCCAGCACCGCUGUGUCCAUGUGUGUUGCACGGGGUUGGGUGCUGCUGAUGGUGCUAUUUUUGCAGCCGGGUGGGAGCUGUGAAAAAAUGGGAGUGACGCCUCCGCUGUUUGCGUCUCCUCCGGUUCUUAUCUCUAUUUCACAGUCAAGAUGUUUCAAAACCUUUAAAUAUGCCUCGAAACGCAGAGUGGGGACAAAUCCCCAGCUCUGUCAUCAUCCCCAUUACAGGGAGCAGCAUCCUGCCAUGCAACGUGCUCCCAAACCCAGCACAGGGGGGCUGAAAAUCCACCUGGAUUUGGGCACAGCCCUGAGAAGAGGAUGUGCACGUGGAUGCUCAGAGCGCAUUCCCACGUGGAGAAGCGGCGUCGGCCCUCACAGAGGCAUUCUCUGACUCAGCAGAAAUGGCUGGGAAGUGUUUGCUCGGGGAUGGGAGCUGCAGCGUGCAAAGGUACAGGGGUGAGAGCCAGGUGGGACACAGUGCUGCCUGGUGGCAUUGACACUGUGGGGCUGAGAGGCUGCUGGAUGCAACCCAACGGCCUGGCAAAGGGCUCAUGCAAAACGAAAAGCAAAGCAGAAUCCCCACCUCCACUGGUGCAAAGGUGGUGGUGAAGGGAUCUCACCCUGCUCUGAAGGUUGGGAAGGGCACUGAGUAUAAUUUGGGGUUGUUGUAGGAUGCUGCUUUGACAGCUCACUCCUAGGACCAUGCAAUACAUCCCCGAGGGACUCAGGAUACAGGAUGUUAUGCCAUAUUGGUAAGGUGCUCUGUAAGCAUCUUUUGGCUCUUUGUUAGGCCUAUCCUCCCUUUGAGCCCCUGCUGCAUGCUCUGGCAUGCCAUAAUGCAGCUGUGGCUGUGCAGAUGUGUCCUCAUCCCCAUCGUGCUCACGUUGGCCCUUCCCUGCAGCACACAUCUCCAAAGAAUGGAGAGCAAGCGAGGUGGGGAGGCAGCAGAGCUAAAAUGAUUAAUGGGACAGCAUGCUCAGAGCAGUUUGGUUUGUGAUAUUAAUAAUGAGGGAAUUCAGGAGGGAACAUACCCCGUGCCCAGCUGUGCAGCUGGCAGCAGCAGGAGCUGUGAAGAUCUAUUUGCAAUGCAGGAGUGAUUGAGUGGGCUCUGCAACAUGUGAUGUGCAUGGAGGGAGUGCUUGCACCUCGCAGGGCUCAUUCUGAACCUGUGUGAACUGCAAAAAAAAAAAAAGAACAAAAGUAUAGGGUCAUAAAUAUCCCAUAACAAUGUCACCAGAAAGCACAUCAAUAUCUGUCAGAUAUGGCUUCAGAUAUGGCUUAAGCUUGAAGAUUGUAAACUGGGCAGGGAAAGCGUGUUUAGCUUACAGGGGGGAGAAGGCAUGAAAAAGGAAAUAUUUAGUAGGAAUUAAUUUGCUCAUAGGGUAAAAAUCAUUAUCUGUGCUGUUUCAUGUAUUCUUCCUGAGCAUUCAGGUCUGGCAUGGCGAUAAGGACUGGGAUUCACCACUCACCAUCAGGUAGAAAGGGAGGGAUGAGUGGUGGAUGCAGAGCUUUCCAGCAUCAUCUGACUUCCUAUGGGCCAGCAGAGCAGUGACACACUUUGGAGAGGAAAGAUGAUGACAACUAUUACAAUCUGCAAGCCAAGAGGAGCAGACAGGCUUUACACCUCACUGGCUGGAGAAAAGCAGAUGAAGGGAGCAAAGCUUCCCAACAACGGGAGCAGGGCUUUGGCCAGAGGGACUUGGGGUGUCAGGAGCUGCUGCUGUGAAGUCCCUGCCAUGGGGCGAGCUGUGUCCCCACAGCUUUAUGGGAUGGCCGAGUCCCAUAGGGAGCCCCUGCCCUGCUGGGAGCGGUACGGUGCGAGCUGACCCGGCGCAGAAUGAGGCUUUCGAAGGGACUGAUGGAAAACUUCACUAAAUCUGGGUGAAAAAAGGCAAUAUCUCCAAAUAAGGUGCGGAUGGAUGCUGAGCGCUUUCGGAGCGCGUCGCCCUGAGCGGCUCUUCCGCGGGUGUGCGGGGACCUCUGGCGGCAGCGCCUGUCCCUGCCCGAGUCCCGUGCGGGGCAUGGAGGGGGAUUUGGGCUCCGGUCCGAUGUCAGGGGAUUGUUUGGAACCGGACUUGGGAACUUCUGUCACUCAAAGUAUCUCUGGUUAACGGCAUCGCUGCAGAAGGAGGGAGGAAAGCAUUAUCAAGGCUGAAAAUAGGGGUUUUGUAGGAAAUCCCAUGGCAAGUCUUUGGAAAAUCAAGGAAAAUCUAAAAAGCUAAAAGUAGCUGAAUGAUAGAAUGUAUGUGGCUGCUGGUGGUGCUCCAGCAGUGGGAUCAGAGCCCCGGAGCCAGAGGUGCCCUUAUCAGAGCUUAAAUUCCUCCUACGAGGAAGUGGCCGUGAGAGCCCUCCAGUGCCCGGAGACACGUUCACUAUUCCUGAACGGGGCCAAAGUGUUUCAUAACCCAGAGAACAAAGCAGCACGUGGGGCAGCGUCACAGCCAGGACAGACUGUGCCAAACCCACAGCAUUUCAGGGGCCGGGGCACUGCAGGGUCAGAGUCUCCCCAUGGAAAGGGACAGCAUUUCUGAGGCUAAAACACUGUCAGUAAAUGAUUUUCCUACUUGGUAUUUCAGGCAGCCCAGCAGGUGUGCAGCUCCAUCUGUGUGCAGGCAAUGCACCCAUCCCUCUGCAUCCCUUUAUGCUAAGCAGAAUGAGCUCUGUGCUUGGCUUUCCCACAGCUGAUUAGCCUGUGUGAUCCCUCUGGUCCUAAUGCACGAGGUUAUAUAUAACCUCCCCAGCACUGGGUCUGUGGAUUACUCCAAGCAGUGUCUCUCCCUCCAUUCAACUGUGAUAAAAUUCCUUUGUCUUUCUAGCUUUUAAGCAAAUUUCUGCAGCAUGGGAUGCUUUCCUAUCAGCAGGGACUGAGAAAGGUGAGACCCCUUUCUGUUGACACUGAUUUAUUCCCUCUGCAACAUCUCUUCCAUCAGCCCAUCAUUUGUUGCAGUUUCAGUGCCCAUUGCCCCAGACAGAGCAGUGACGGUGAGCUCAGACUCCAUGCUUUUGUACUUAAGCAAAGAGAACAGAAGAUCUCCUCCCAAAUUAAUACCUCAAAGGAGAGGCAGCCCCUGACAUCACUCGGUGUGUGUGCAGUGAUUCAUCUGAAUGAGGUCUGCGUGGCAUCCUUGCUCCAGGUGGAGACGUCAAAAAGCAACGAGAGAUCAUCAGACCAUGAGCAGCAGGAAAAGCAGUGCCUUGGUGGAUGGAGCUGAGGAAAGCGUGGAUAUAUGACCCUGAAUUUCUACACGGAGCAGGUCUGGGGUGUCUUGACUGCAGGGAGCUGCUCGUGGAUGGGAUGUAGGACAAAGAGAUGGAGGGCAGCAGUGCGGUGGGUGCAGCAUUUAUAUUUCUUUUUUUGGCAGAGGAACUGGAGCUUUUUGGUCAAUAAACCCACAG